Molecule: ribosomal RNA, 374 nt
Filed under: uncultured organism
Description: partial 16S ribosomal RNA
Rfam family: Bacterial small subunit ribosomal RNA
Source: RNAcentral
AGAGGGGUGCUAACGUUGUUCGGAAUUACUGGGCAUAAAGCGCGCGUAGGGCGGUUUUGUAAGUGUGGGAGUGAAAGCCCACGGGCUCAACCGUGGAAUUGCUUUGCAUACUGCAGGACUCGAGGACGGUAGGGGAGAGCGGAACUCCUGGUGGAGCGGUGAAAUGCGUAGAUAUCAGGAGGAACACCGGUGGCGAAGGCGGCUCUCUGGUCCGUUUCUGACGCUGAGGUGCGAAAGCCAGGGUAGCGAACGGGAUUAGAUACCCCGGUAGUCCUGGCCGUAAACGAUGGGCACUAACUAGAGGGCUCCCUGUGGGUUCUCUGGUGAAGCAAAUGUGAUAAGUGCCCCGCCUGGGGAGUAUGGUCGCAAGGCUA